UCGGGAAUUUUGGGCAAUGGGCGAAAGCCUGACCCAGCAACGCCGCGUGAAGGAUGAAGUAUUUCGGUAUGUAAACUUCGAAAGAAUAGGAAGAAUAAAUGACGGUACUAUUUAUAAGCUCCGGCUAACUACGUGCCAGCAGCCGCGGUAAUACGAAGGGUGCAAGCGUUACUCGGAAUUACUGGGCGUAAAGCGUGCGUAGGCGGUUCGUUAAGUCCGUUGUGAAAGCCCUGGGCUCAACCUGGGAAUUGCAGUGGAUACUGGCGAGCUAGAGUACGGUAGAGNAUGGUGGAAUUCCCGGUGUAGCGGUGAAAUGCGUAGAGAUCGGGAGGAACACCCGUGGCGAAGGCGGCCAUCUGGACCAGUACUGACGCUGAGGCACGAAAGCGUGGGGAGCAAACA
This 402-nucleotide ribosomal RNA is filed under the name uncultured bacterium. Its description in RNAcentral is "bacterial SSU rRNA". It matches the Rfam family "Bacterial small subunit ribosomal RNA", at positions 355 to 774 of the family's 1533-position model. The record is from RNAcentral.